Mus musculus (house mouse) is the source of this 1172-nucleotide long non-coding RNA. RefSeq annotates it as predicted gene, 52440. The record is from RefSeq and is a predicted model, not a curated record. NCBI's taxonomy places the organism in Eukaryota, Metazoa, Chordata, Mammalia, Rodentia, Muridae. The transcript has 2 exons.
CGCCCACGCUCCCUUCCUCGGUCUGCCUACGGGCGUGGAAACUGCCGGAGUGCGGAAGAGAGCUGCUGCUUACCUGAUGUAGAUUUCUAGAUCAUUCCUCUAACCUACUCUAAUGUGUUGGUACCCUUGUGGUGACAAGAAGAUUGAAACGAGUGGAAUUUCCACACCAGUGGGAAGUUGAAGACAGAUCAAGAGCACUUUGUCUACUGCUCAUCCCUUAGCCAGGUCGUAUAGGUGAGAUGCAACCGGCAAGUGCUGAAAAUGAACAGACACAAAGGUUUACAAAACAACCCUGAAACCAAGACUCUCAAGCAGUAUUGAAGUUUCCUCUGAAGAAGAAAUCCUCAUUUUAUAAUCUUUCAACGCACUAUCCUGGAUAAUUUCUUUGCCGGAAGAAUUUUGUUUUUCUUUUUUGCUGGAAGAAUUUUGUUUUUCUUUUUUGCUUUCUCUCUCUCUUUCUCUCUCUCUCUUUCUUUUCCCAUUUUUAAGGAUUAGUUUUCAGCCUGCCAAUAGUGGUACAUGCCUUUAAUCCUAGCAGUCAGGAGGCAGAGGCAGGAGGAUUUCGUGAGUUCGAAGUCAACUUGGAAAAAGAGAAUUAGUUUUCUUUUCCUUUUUUUCUUUUUUAAAGAUUUAUUUAAUAUAUGUGAGUACAUUGUUGCUGUAUUUAGACACACCAGAAGAGGGCUCCAGAUCUCAUUACAGAUCAUUGUGAGCUACCAUGUGGUUGCUGGGACUUGAACUCAGGACCUCUGGAAGAACAAUCAGUGCUCUUAACCACUGAGACAUCUCUCCAGCCCCCUUUUUGGUUUUUCAAGACAGGGUUUCUCUGUGUAGCCCUGGCUAUCCUGGAACUCACUCUGUAGACCAGGCUGGCCUCAAACUCAGAAAUCCACCUGCCUCUGCCUCUGCCUCCCAAUUGCUGGGAUUAAAGCCAGUGCCACCACUGCCCACCCAGCCCUUGGUUCUUAUUUCUAAGGAACAAAAUUGCUUGUUUCAUAUUGUGUCUGGACAGCAUCACUGGCUUCAUGGUGCCAAUAGUUCAGCAUGCAGUACUGGUGGGAUCAGGCCCAAGCCUUGCUUUUCUCAUUUUGUUUGUAUAAGAUCCAGUGCACAUAUAUAGCUUUGCUUUAAAACUUUCAAGUGUCUGUGAUGAUUAAACUUGAUGGGACCUA